UAAUAAAAAGUCAUAGUAUAUUAAAGGGGACAUAUUAUGCUCCUUUUCAACAAGUUUGAAUAAGUCUCAGAGGUCCCCAAAGCAUGUCUUUGAAGCUUUUUGCUAAAAAAUCCACUCCGAUCCUAUAUUUCAGCAUGCCUGUAAACCCCUCUUUUUCAGCCCUGUUCAGAACAGGCUGUUUCUGUGUCUGUAGCUUUAAAUGCAAAUGAGCUGUGCCUGACCACGCCCCUCUCCGGAAGGGGAUGCCGUACAGGCUUCUGGAACCAUGCUCUAAUGUUUACGGUGACUGUGACAGGCAACCUGGCGUCGGUAGCGAUUUGGUUCAACCACACGACUUUUAUCCAGAAUCUGACCCAGAGGGAGAGACUGCUGAAGAAGUUCAAACUCUACAACUGCAGCAGGACUUUUCUGAAUGGUGCUCCUGUGGAAACUGUGCAACCAUGCCCACAGAAGCUGAGAACAUCUGCUGCUAGGAGAUACCACAGGUUACCAGACGGCUAUGGGAGAUUAAGGAAGAUUUAUCAUGUAUGGUCGGCCGUCCUGGGUUGGAGCCGCUCUGCCUCAUUGUGUUCUGCCUGCAACAUGUACCGCACUGACUAUGGUCCUUU
This is a long non-coding RNA of Seriola aureovittata, 608 nucleotides long. RefSeq lists it as uncharacterized. The record is from RefSeq and is a predicted model, not a curated record. NCBI's taxonomy places the organism in Eukaryota, Metazoa, Chordata, Actinopteri, Carangiformes, Carangidae. The transcript is spliced from 3 exons.